This 253-nucleotide ribosomal RNA is filed under the name uncultured bacterium. Its description in RNAcentral is "partial 16S ribosomal RNA". It matches the Rfam family "Bacterial small subunit ribosomal RNA", at positions 524 to 776 of the family's 1533-position model. The record is from RNAcentral.
UACGUAGGGGGCAAGCGUUGUCCGGAUUUAUUGGGCGUAAAGGGUGUGUAGGUGGCGCCGUAAGUCGGGUGUGAAAUUUCGGAGCUUAACUCCGAAACUGCAUUCGAUACUGCGGUGCUUGAGGACUGGAGAGGAGACUGGAAUUCAUGGUGUAGCAGUGAAAUGCGUAGAGAUCAUGAGGAAGACCAGUGGCGAAGGCGGGUCUCUGGACAGUUCCUGACACUGAGACACGAAGGCCAGGGGAGCAAACGGG